Molecule: ribosomal RNA, 513 nt
Filed under: uncultured Acidobacteriota bacterium
Lineage: Bacteria; Pseudomonadati; Acidobacteriota
Description: bacterial SSU rRNA
Rfam family: Bacterial small subunit ribosomal RNA
Source: RNAcentral
AACGCCGCGUGGAGGAUGAAGACUUUCGGGUCGUAAACUCCUGUCGAGCGGGACGAACACUCUUCAGGUGAAUAAUCUGGAGAGCUGACGGUACCGCGAGAGGAAGCCCCGGCUAACUCCGUGCCAGCAGCCGCGGUAAUACGGGGGGGGCAAGCGUUGUUCGGAAUUACUGGGCGUAAAGGGCUCGUAGGCGGCCAACUAAGUCAGACGUGAAAUCCCUCGGCUCAACCGGGGAACUGCGUCUGAUACUGGAUGGCUUGAAUCCGGGAGAGGGAUGCGGAAUUCCAGGUGUAGCGGUGAAAUGCGUAGAUAUCUGGAGGAACACCGGUGGCGAAGGCGGCAUCCUGGACCGGUAUUGACGCUGAGGAGCGAAAGCCAGGGGAGCAAACGGGAUUAGAUACCCCGGUAGUCCUGGCCCUAAACGAUGAAUGCUUGGUGUAGCGGGUAUCGAUCCCUGCUGUGCCGAAGCUAACGCAUUAAGCAUUCCGCCUGGGGAGUACGGUCGCAAGGCUG